This 429-nucleotide ribosomal RNA is filed under the name uncultured bacterium. RNAcentral describes it as "bacterial SSU rRNA". It matches the Rfam family "Bacterial small subunit ribosomal RNA", at positions 355 to 775 of the family's 1533-position model. The record is from RNAcentral.
UGAGGAAUCUUGCGCAAUGGGGGAAACCCUGACGCAGCAACGCCGCGUGAGUGAGGAAGGCCUUCGGGUCGUAAAGCUCUGUCAGAUGGGAAGAAAUGGGUGGGGGCUAAUAUCGUCCAUCCUUGACGGUACCACCAGAGGAAGCACCGGCUAACUCCGUGCCAGCAGCCGCGGUAAUACGGGGGGUGCAAGCGUUGUUCGGAAUCAUUGGGCGUAAAGCGCGCGCAGGCGGCUUGGUCAGUCAGAUGUGAAAGCCCUGGGCUUAACCCAGGAAGUGCAUUUGAUACUGCCUCGCUAGAGUACGGGAGAGGAAAGUGGAAUUCCUGGUGUAGAGGUGAAAUUCGUAGAUAUCAGGAGGAACACCGGUGGCGAAGGCGACUUUCUGGCCCGAUACUGACGCUCAGGCGCGAAAGCGUGGGGAGCAAACAG